GAUGAACGCUGGCGGCGUGCCUAAUACAUGCAAGUCGAGCGAACGGACGAGAAGCUUGCUUUUCUGAUGUUAGCGGCGGACGGGUGAGUAACACGUGGAUAACCUAUCUAUAAGACUGGGAUAACUUCGGGAAACCGGAGCUAAUACCGGAUAAUAUUUUGAACCGCAUGGUUCAAAAGUGAAAGACGGUCUUGCUGUCACUUAUAGAUGGAUCCGCGCUGCAUUAGCUAGUUGGUAAGGUAACGGCUUACCAAGGCAACGAUGCAUAGCCGACCUGAGAGGGGGUUCGCCCACACUGGAACUGAGCCGCGGUCCAGACUCCUACGGGAGGCAGCAGUAGGUAAUCUUCCGCGAUGGGCGAAAGCCUGACGGAGCAACGCCGCGUGGGUGAUGAAGGGCUUCGUGUCGUAAAACGCUGUUAUUAGGGAAGAACAUAUGUGUAAGUAACUGUGCACAUCUUGACGGUACCUAAUCAGAAAGCCACGGCUAACUACGUG
Molecule: ribosomal RNA, 497 nt
Filed under: uncultured bacterium
Lineage: Bacteria
Description: partial 16S ribosomal RNA
Rfam family: Bacterial small subunit ribosomal RNA
Source: RNAcentral